AGCACUUUGGGUGUGUGUGUGUUUGUUCAACUGGUGGACAAAGGCAUGAAAGACAGGUGCAAAAAUAAAUCCUCUUUUGCAACCCAGAAAUCAUUGUUCAGUAUGAGUUUUGAUACAUACAAGAAGGAAUACG
RNAcentral lists this small nucleolar RNA (133 nucleotides) under Nannospalax galili (Upper Galilee mountains blind mole rat). RNAcentral describes it as "Small nucleolar RNA SNORA40 (ENSNGAG00000003158.1)". It matches the Rfam family "Small nucleolar RNA SNORA40". Rfam says of the family: The snoRNA ACA 40 belongs to the H/ACA family of snoRNAs and guides the pseudouridylation of 28S rRNA subunit at position U4565. NB This family has a high threshold value to exclude a large number of closely related sequences that do not appear to have conserved H and ACA boxes, and may be pseudogenes. Lineage: Eukaryota; Metazoa; Chordata; Mammalia; Rodentia; Spalacidae. The record is from Rfam by way of RNAcentral.